AAAAACAAAGUGAUCAGGAAAGUAAUUAGUUACUAUUCACCCCAGAGAGACAACGUUGGUGCGAGUUGUUGUGAAAUAGCCUAAUGAAAAUGACCUGUGAUUGGCGUUAAUGAACAGCAAGUCUGUAAGUUAACGACGGAUUGGUCUCCGUUAUCCAGACACACGAAUCGGCAUAGCACCAUUUCGCUCCCUGCCUGCUCGUUGCAAGAUCUUUUUGGGUAACCAGAAGAUGAACUAGAAUGGUAACACGAGGUGACUCGUUUCUAUU
This 268-nucleotide non-coding RNA is filed under the name Weissella ceti. RNAcentral describes it as "T-box sequence". It matches the Rfam family "T-box leader". From Rfam's summary of the family: Uncharged tRNA acts as the effector for transcription antitermination of genes in the T-box leader family. T-boxes are found upstream of many aminoacyl-tRNA synthetase genes and some amino acid biosynthetic genes usually in Gram-positive bacteria. The record is from RNAcentral. Lineage: Bacteria; Bacillati; Bacillota; Bacilli; Lactobacillales; Lactobacillaceae.